Gasterosteus aculeatus aculeatus (three-spined stickleback) is the source of this 641-nucleotide long non-coding RNA. The record is from Ensembl. Lineage: Eukaryota; Metazoa; Chordata; Actinopteri; Perciformes; Gasterosteidae.
CAUCUGUCGCCAGCUCGUUUUUGCCUUUUUGGUCUCGUUUGCUUCCGUCUCCCACGGUGUGUUUUUUUUUGGGGGGGGGACAUCCGUCUCGGCUCAUUUCCUCUCCCGUGUUUAAAGCUCCUCCGAAAAUAUCCCCCCCACCCCCUCCAAAAUGAUCGACCGACGGCUGCGAGGGAAAUUGGGCCAACAAAUUAGAUGAACCCUUGACGCAAUACCGAAAAGGAAAGAAAUACCUUCCUGCGAUUCUGGAGCAGUCGGAGCCUGGCAGCACGGCAGUUUUUCUGCACUCCCUCACUAGAGAUGGAAUCACUGCGAGAGGUUAACAUAGAGCUGUCAGUCAUAAUAUCAGAUGCGUCCGUCCUCCACCCUCGCCACCUCCGAUCAGCAGCAACGUCACGCUCCUCAUCACAGGAUUGCAGCCACUUCCCUCACCACCACCACCAGCGUCUGGACCACAAGGUGGAAUACAGCCUCGUCUGACCUAAACAUCUCUACCCCUGGACUGUCCUAUUGCUGGAUGGAGUCCAAUCUCCAAAGACUUUGCACAAAUUAUAUUUAUGCAUGUUUCAUAUAUUUGUGCUGAUUGAAUUGCCUUUCUAUAAGAAUCUCAAACAAAAAAAUAAAUAUUACAAGAUUACAGU